ACUUAAAUUGAAGAGUUUGAUCAUGGCUCAGAUUGAACGCUGGCGGCAGGCCUAACACAUGCAAGUCGAGCGGUAGCACAGAGAGCUUGCUCUCGGGUGACGAGCGGCGGACGGGUGAGUAAUGUCUGGGAAACUGCCUGAUGGAGGGGGAUAACUACUGGAAACGGUAGCUAAUACCGCAUAACGUCGCAAGACCAAAGUGGGGGACCUUCGGGCCUCAUGCCAUCAGAUGUGCCCAGAUGGGAUUAGCUAGUAGGUGGGGUAACGGCUCACCUAGGCGACGAUCCCUAGCUGGUCUGAGAGGAUGACCAGCCACACUGGAACUGAGACACGGUCCAGACUCCUACGGGAGGCAGCAGUGGGGAAUAUUGCACAAUGGGCGCAAGCCU
RNAcentral lists this ribosomal RNA (389 nucleotides) under Klebsiella pneumoniae. RNAcentral's name for it is "bacterial SSU rRNA". It matches the Rfam family "Bacterial small subunit ribosomal RNA", at positions 1 to 384 of the family's 1533-position model. Lineage: Bacteria; Pseudomonadati; Pseudomonadota; Gammaproteobacteria; Enterobacterales; Enterobacteriaceae. The record is from RNAcentral.